GAUGAAGAACGUAGCGAAAUGCGAUACGUAAUGUGAAUUGCAAAUUCAGUGAAUCAUCGAGUCUUUGAACGCACAUUGCGCCCCCUGGUAUUCCGGGGGGCAUGCCUGUCCGAGCGUCAUUGCUGCCCUCAAGCACGGCUUGUGUGUUGGGCCCCGUCCUCCGAUCCCGGGGGACGGGCCCGAAAGGCAGCGGCGGCACCGCGUCCGGUCCUCGAGCGUAUGGGGCUUUGUCACCCGCUCUGUAGGCCCGGCCGGUGCUUGCCGAUCAACCCAAAUUUUUAUCCAGGUUGACCUCGGAUCAGGUAGGGAUACCCGCUGAACUUAAGCAUAUCAAUAAGCGGAGGA
Molecule: unclassified non-coding RNA, 345 nt
Filed under: soil metagenome
Description: partial contains 5.8S ribosomal RNA, internal transcribed spacer 2, and large subunit ribosomal RNA
Rfam family: 5.8S ribosomal RNA (bases 1-119)
Source: RNAcentral